GACGAACGCUGGCGGCGUGCCUAAUACAUGCAAGUAGAACGCACAGUUUAUACCGUAGCUUGCUACACCAUAGACUGUGAGUUGCGAACGGGUGAGUAACGCGUAGGUAACCUGCCUGGUAGCGGGGGAUAACUAUUGGAAACGAUAGCUAAUACCGCAUAAUAUUAAUUAUUGCAUGAUAAUUAAUUGAAAGGUGCAAUUGCACCACUACCAGAUGGACCUGCGUUGUAUUAGCUAGUAGGUGAGGUAACGGCUCACCUAGGCGACGAUACAUAGCCGACCUGAGAGGGUGAUCGGCCACACUGGGACUGGGACACGGCCCAGACUCCUACGGGAGGCAGCAGUAGGGAAUCUUCGGCAAUGGACGAAAGUCUGACCGAGCAACGCCGCGUGAGUGAAGAAGGUUUUCGGAUCGUAAAGCUCUGUUGUAGGAGAAGAACGGGUGUGAGAGUGGAAAGUUCACGCUGUGACGGUAUCUUACCAGAAAGGGACGGCUAACUACGUG
RNAcentral lists this ribosomal RNA (505 nucleotides) under uncultured bacterium. RNAcentral's name for it is "partial 16S ribosomal RNA". It matches the Rfam family "Bacterial small subunit ribosomal RNA", at positions 28 to 507 of the family's 1533-position model. The record is from RNAcentral.